This 415-nucleotide ribosomal RNA is filed under the name Pseudomonas sp. H2-1-f. RNAcentral describes it as "bacterial SSU rRNA". It matches the Rfam family "Bacterial small subunit ribosomal RNA", at positions 236 to 643 of the family's 1533-position model. The record is from RNAcentral. RNAcentral also lists the same sequence under 2 other names. Lineage: Bacteria; Pseudomonadati; Pseudomonadota; Gammaproteobacteria; Pseudomonadales; Pseudomonadaceae.
UCGGAUUAGCUAGUUGGUGAGGUAAUGGCUCACCAAGGCGACGAUCCGUAACUGGUCUGAGAGGAUGAUCAGUCACACUGGAACUGAGACACGGUCCAGACUCCUACGGGAGGCAGCAGUGGGGAAUAUUGGACAAUGGGCGAAAGCCUGAUCCAGCCAUGCCGCGUGUGUGAAGAAGGUCUUCGGAUUGUAAAGCACUUUAAGUUGGGAGGAAGGGCAGUCAGCGAAUACCUUGCUGUCUUGACGUUACCGACAGAAUAAGCACCGGCUAACUCUGUGCCAGCAGCCGCGGUAAUACAGAGGGUGCAAGCGUUAAUCGGAAUUACUGGGCGUAAAGCGCGCGUAGGUGGUUUGUUAAGUUGAAUGUGAAAUCCCCGGGCUCAACCUGGGAACUGCAUCCAAAACUGGCAAGCUA